UUAAAUGACAUUUUUACUGGGCACAAUAUAAAAAAAUCAGAAAAAAGUUGUGAACAUUGUUUAAAAAGAAAAAGGGUUUGUAAAUGUGAAACUAUAAAAAGAGAAUUAGGAUGGUAAAAAAAAAUAAAAAAAUAAAAUAUACAUGUUAUGUAAUAUAUACAAAAAAUGUAUACAUAUGUAUUAGUGUGUUAUUUUAUUGUUACGUACAUGGACGUUUGAAUCCACACAAGUUACUAACGUUCUUUUUUUUUUUUUUAAACACAAUAUUUUAUAUAGUCCAUUACAAUGUAUGUCCUUUUUUUUUUUUUUUUUUUUUUUUUUAACAUACAAAUUUUGUAUAUUUCAUUAGUAUAUACAUCCUGUUUUUUUAUUUUUCUGUGUUAAUAGUGAAGAAGAAGGUAUAAUAGAAGAACUGUGGGAAGUAAAAAAGUAUUAUGAAGACAUUUGUGAGAAAAUUGUAGAUAAAUACAAAGACGUGAUAAGUCGAUUUGAAUAUGAUAAAGAUAUAGUUGAGUAUAUAAAAAAUAAAAAAUUAAAUGACGAGAUAGAAUGUGAAGAUUGGUUAUAUUUUUAUGAAUUGUUAAAAGAAAGAAAAAUAUUAGAACGAUGCGUUGAUAUAAAAAAAACAAACGAAUUAUUAAUUCUAAAUACUUUUCAUUUUAAUGAAGAAGCUAAUUUCAUUAGUUGUUUAAAUUAUUAUAUUAAAACAAAUAAUUAUUCCAAUAUACAUCAUAGUUGGAUGGGUAUGAGUUUAAACUCAUUUAACGAGUAUUUAGAUUAUAAUAACAUAUGUAGUAAUAAUAUAAAUAAUAAUACUCACACUUUUGAAACAGAAAAAGUAAGUGUUCAGAAUUUGAAUAUCAAACAACAAAAAAUAGAUAAUUUAUACAUAUAUAAGAAUAUAGAUAAAAAUAACAAUAUAUCAACACAAGUACCACCUUUAUUAUUAUUAUUGUAUAAUUAUAAAAAAAUAUAUCCAUUAUAUUAUUAUUUAUAUAUAAUAGAAAAUGACAAAUGGGUAUCUGGUAUUAAUAAUACAGGUAAUGUACUUGACUAUGGUAGUGUUAAUUACAUAUGGAAUAAAGUAGUUAGAGGUGAUAGUAACAAAAUAAAAUUAUUUCAUUUAAUUACAUCCAAUUGUGUUAUAAACAAUGAUGAUAUAAACUUUAAUACAUUUUUAAAUAAAGAAAAAAAAAAAUAUAGAAUUCAAGAUAUGCAAUUAUGUGAACUUGAAAAAAUGUUAUGUAUUAGUCAUUUAAUUUGUUCAUUAGGUAUGUUAAAUAUUGGUGGUUGUUUUAUUAUGAAAAUUAAAUUAUCUUUUAGUAAUACAUUAAUGUCUUUAUUUGCUAUUUUAUCGAUUUGUUUUAAAAAGUUAGAAGUAUAUAAACCAUCUUGUUGUUAUUUAAAAAAUAUAGUUUUUGUAGUGGCUACACAUUUUAUUGGUAUUACUUCGAUAUUUUUGGCUACCUUGAAUUCUCGACUCCAGUUAGCACAAAAGGAGUUAACUAAUUUGUUAUAUCAUCAGUCAUGUAGUACUAUAGCCUUAAACAUUGAGACUAACAUUAAAAAUGUCAAUAGUACUGACAAUGAUAUUAACACUAUAUCUACUACAAGGUCAAACAACUGUACAAACCACAACCUUAUUCCCAAAAAAUGGCUUACAGAUAAAUUUUUUGAAGAAUACACAACUUGUAUAAAACUAUUUAACGAAUGCCUUAUUAACAAUUUAAAACAAUGUAUAAAUGUCUCAAACAUUAAUUUAAUAAAAAAAAAUAUAAAGAAUACGAAAGAUACAUUUAUAUCUAAAUUUUUUGAAAAAAACAAAAUUAUGGAUAUACCAAAAAAAGAUAAGUUAUUAUAUAAGACAUAUAACGAUAUAUAUUACAAUGGUGACAAUAUCAUAAGUAAUAAUAUUAAUAUAAUGUCAGAUUGGUUAGUUACGAACUCAGUUGAAGCAACAUAUGAAAGUGAAAGUGAAAAUAAAAAUGAAAAAAUGAGUAACAUGAUGAUAUACUCUGAAAACAAACUUUUUGUUAGUAAUGACGACGACAAAAACAGUAGUAACAGCAGCAGUAGUAACAACGGUAACAGUAUUUUAGAUUGUAAAAACAAGUAUGUUGAUAAUAACUACGACAGUGAGUACUAUUACGAUGACUAUUAUGAUUCUUACUAUGAUGAUUGUUAUGACGAUAACUGCUAUGACCACUCCUAUGAUGACUAUUAUGACGAUUCUUUUGACAAAUAUCACGGACACAACAUUUCUGGUUAUAGAAGUAAAAAUACAAAACAAAUAAGUGAAAAAUCGAAAGAAAGAAUAAAAUUGAAUAAAAAAAAAAUGUUAAAAAUAAAAAAAGCUUUAUUAUGUUAUAAUAUAAACAAUAAUGUAUUUUUUUUUACGAACUUAUACAACAUAAAUAUAAGUAAUGAUGUUAACUCCGUCAGAAAUAGGAAUAUAUUAGCAUACGAAAAACAUAUCACAGAUUUACUAAACAAAAUACAUUUUAAAAAUAGUGAUAAUAAUAAACAAAAACAAAACGAAUUUUUUAAAUUAGAAUCAGAAAUGAUAAAAAAGAGAAGCUAUUAUGUUAUACCUAAUAAAAAACAUAAUUAUUAUAAAACUGAAUUUGAAAUGUUGUUAAAAAAACAAAUUUAUUUUACUAAUAAAAAUUGGUUCAAAAAUUACAAGCGUAAUGAUAUUAAAUAUUAUAAAAAUUCAUUUUAUUUGAAUCAACAGUUAUUUAUAGAUUUAUUACAUUGUAGAUAUUAUAUUUAUUAUAAUAAAUGCGAUAUAUAUAUAAAUAGUUUAAAACAGGUAAUUAAACAGUAUGAACCAAUAAAUUGUUCUUACAUUCCUUAUAACUUAUAUGCUAAUAUAAUCGAUAUAUUGAUCGUUUUAAAAAACUGCGCUGGACUGGAUAUAUUUGAAGACUCUAGUUUUUUAAAAAAUUUUAUUUUUAUUAGUAAAGAAAAAACAUUGUAUGAUUUCUUUUCGAACUACCAACCGGGUUAUUACGUUUCCUUAGGUUCUUAUCCCGAAGGUAUUUUUUUUUUUUUUUUUUUUUUUUUUUUUUUAUUAACCCUUACAUUUGUUUAUGAUUGCACAUGACAGUUUGUGUUUGUCCAUACUUACUCACACCUAUCGAUGUUUACCCAUACGUACCAAUGUUUACCCAUACGUACCAAUGUUUANNNNNNNNNNGUUUACCCAUACGUACCAAUGUUUACCCAUACGUACCAAUGUUUACCCAUACUUAC
Molecule: long non-coding RNA, 3255 nt
Filed under: Piliocolobus tephrosceles (Ugandan red Colobus)
Lineage: Eukaryota; Metazoa; Chordata; Mammalia; Primates; Cercopithecidae
Description: lncRNA (ENSPTEG00000017644.1)
Source: RNAcentral